GACGAACGCUGGCGGCGUGCCUAAUACAUGCAAGUAGAACGCAGUUGCGAACGGGUGAGUAACGCGUAGGUAACUGCCUCAUAGCGGGGGAUAACUAUUGGAAACGAUAGCUAAUACCGCAUACUGUGAGAUGGACCUGCGUUGUCUUAGGUAGUUGGUGAGGUAAAGGCUCACCAAGGCGACGAUCCAUAGCGGACCUGCGAGGGUGAUCGGCCAAAAUGGGACUGAGAACAGGCGCCGACUCCUGAGGGAUGCAGCAGUAGGGAAUCUUCGGAAAUGGACGGAAGGCUGACCGAGGAACGCCGCGGGAGGGAAGAAGGUUUUCGGAUCGUAAAGCUCUUUUGUUAGAGAAGCGGUACCUAACCAGAAAGGGACGGCUAACUACGUGCCAGCAGCCGCGGUAAUAC
This 407-nucleotide ribosomal RNA is filed under the name uncultured bacterium. RNAcentral describes it as "partial 16S ribosomal RNA". It matches the Rfam family "Bacterial small subunit ribosomal RNA", at positions 28 to 526 of the family's 1533-position model. The record is from RNAcentral.